Molecule: ribosomal RNA, 254 nt
Filed under: uncultured bacterium
Lineage: Bacteria
Description: partial 16S ribosomal RNA
Rfam family: Bacterial small subunit ribosomal RNA
Source: RNAcentral
UACGUAGGGUGCAAGCGUUGUCCGGAAUUAUUGGGCGUAAAGAGCUCGUAGGCGGUUUGUCGCGUCUGCCGUGAAAGUCCGGGGCUCAACUCCGGAUCUGCGGUGGGUACGGGCAGACUAGAGUGAUGUAGGGGGAGACUGGAAUUCCUGGUGUAGCGGUGAAAUGCGCAGAUAUCAGGAGGAACACCGGUGGCGAAGGCGCCACUCUGGGCCGGUACUGACGCUGAGGAGCGAAAGCGUGGGGAGCGAACAGG